Lemur catta (Ring-tailed lemur) is the source of this 165-nucleotide long non-coding RNA. RefSeq lists it as uncharacterized. NCBI's taxonomy places the organism in Eukaryota, Metazoa, Chordata, Mammalia, Primates, Lemuridae. The transcript has 3 exons. The record is from RefSeq and is a predicted model, not a curated record.
GGCCGCUCUGCAGGCUGCGCGGGCCCUUCAGCUAAGGCGACAGAGCCUUUCGUUUCAUAAUUAGAGAAGAGGCUUGGACACAAAAGUGGUUGGGAAGGAGCCACUGGGACCGAGAACUCCACUCAGUCAUAAAUGAAGGGCAAGAUAAUGAGUUCUCACCACGUG